This 1410-nucleotide long non-coding RNA is filed under the name Anser brachyrhynchus (Pink-footed goose). RNAcentral describes it as "lncRNA (ENSABRG00000009183.1)". The record is from RNAcentral. Lineage: Eukaryota; Metazoa; Chordata; Aves; Anseriformes; Anatidae.
AUGACAACUUUGCAAAGACUGCUGCUUUCGUGUGCCGUUCGGGCUUUUUAUUCCCUCCCGUCUCCCCAAGGGCUGGCAUGUCGGCGAGGAUUUGGCGGAGGGGUUAACAGCCGCCCUGCGUUUCAGAGCUCGGAGCUUUGUCACUGCGUAGUUCGCCAAGUGGGGAGCGGUGACGCAGUGAUCAUUGCAGGGCACGCCGGGCGGCUUUUCAAAGCACCGGGGGGACAGGUACGCGCUGCCUUCCAGACGCUUCCACGCCAGCUGAAAGGGGUUAAGGAUGAGUCGAGACGGGAAGCCAGCGUUUGGGGAUUAAAUGUCAUCAUUUUGGCGUUGGGAAGUUGUUUACCUUGCUCUCGCCGUGUCUCCGUGCUGGCAGCCGGCCAGCUCCCAUGUGAUAGUCUUCCCUGUACUGCUGCAUCAUUAACCGGGGGCCGGGGCCGGCUCCCCAUUGGCCGGGGGAGGGCUCUCGGCCCCAAGGCGCCGCGCCAUUGGCGGAGGAGGCGCUGGCAGGUGAAAAGCCCUCGCGGAUUGGCCGAGGGCUGGGUGUCAAAUCUGAAUGUUGGCUGCGCUCGCCGCGAGCGCUGCUGCCGGCCGCCGGCUGCGGGUAGGGUGCGGGUAGGGGUAGGGGUGCGGGUGGGGGUAGGGGUGCGGGUAAUAGGUCCAGGUAUGGGUAAAGGUGCGGGUAUGGGUGCGGGUAUAGGUGUGGGUAUAGGUGCAGGUAUGGGUCUGGGUACGGGUGCGGGUAUGGGCACUGGUAUAGGUGCGGGUAUGGGUGCGGGUAUAGGUAUGGGUACGGGUACGGGUAUAGGUGCGGGUACAGCUGCGGGUAUAGGUGCGGGUACGGGUGCAGGUAUAGGUGCGGGUGUAGGUCCAGGUGUAGGUAUAGGUGCGGGUAUGCGUGCAGGUAUGGGGCCGGGCAUGGAGCCCUGCCCGCCCACACAACCCGUGUCACCCCGUGCCGGUGCCGGUGCGGUUUCACUUUGCUGCGCGGCUGUGGCGAUGACGUGUCAGAGCUGCCAAGCUCGGCCAGGGGAACUCGCUCGGGUUUGGGGCUUUUUUUUUUCUCCUUUCUUUCCUGCUUUCUCUCUUCUGUCGGUGGUAGUUGAGUGUUGGUCACACCGUGAGCCGCUCGGGGCAGGGACCGAAUGUGGCAAUCGCGUGGCGGGAUUAACGAAGCGGAAAAGGCUCCUGCCCGAACGCCGUCAUGCCGCCCGGGCGAGAGUUUGUCGGUGUGGGCGAGGCGAGGGAGCGCUGCCGGCGGCCCUGAGCCGGGGCUCCGCAAGGUCUGCAAAAGGAAACCAGAGCGUUAGGAGGCAAGAAGGCAGGCAUAAAGGAGGACUGGGACAGGCUGGGGAAGGAGGGAUAGGAGACCGCGGACAGACAGCGGCUCCAGAAAGGAUGAGGAAAUGA